UGUUCCCAUGCCGAACACAGAAGUUAAGCUCCUUAGCGCCGAUGGUAGUCGGACUGACGUUCCGCUAGAGUAGGACGUUGCCAGGC
RNAcentral lists this ribosomal RNA (86 nucleotides) under Staphylococcus epidermidis. The record is from RNAcentral. Lineage: Bacteria; Bacillati; Bacillota; Bacilli; Caryophanales; Staphylococcaceae.